CAGGGAUAUGUGCUUAACGCACUGCUCUUCUCUCUCUACACCCAUGCCUGUGUGGUUAGGCAUCGAUAAACUCAUUUGAUGAUACAACUGUUGCCGGCAGAAUUUCACGUGAUGACGCGAAGAUAGAUUUUCAAAGGAGGGAAUAGUUGCAUCCUAAUAGCUGCUGAAGUCCUUUCAGUGUUGUUGGAACCACAUUCAUUCGGCCACGGGAUUGUGCUUUAUGGUGAAAAUAUUUUGGGCAUCAGGAGAUUUUGGAGUAGGUGUGAAUUAUCAACUCUGAGGAAUAUUGGGUUGGAUUGAACUCCACUCCUACAGCACCGGUUAAGACUGCCUCUCAUCCUCCCUUCAGUGGUUGU
Mobula hypostoma (lesser devil ray) is the source of this 356-nucleotide long non-coding RNA. RefSeq lists it as uncharacterized. The record is from RefSeq and is a predicted model, not a curated record. The transcript has 3 exons. Lineage: Eukaryota; Metazoa; Chordata; Chondrichthyes; Myliobatiformes; Myliobatidae.